Molecule: non-coding RNA, 45 nt
Filed under: Schistosoma mattheei
Lineage: Eukaryota; Metazoa; Platyhelminthes; Trematoda; Strigeidida; Schistosomatidae
Source: RNAcentral
AUCCAAUGGAAGAGUCCCAAAUAAGACGAAACGUGUGUCCUGGAU